UGGAGGUUCGUGACCAUCCCUGGGAU
Molecule: non-coding RNA, 26 nt
Filed under: Homo sapiens (human)
Lineage: Eukaryota; Metazoa; Chordata; Mammalia; Primates; Hominidae
Source: RNAcentral